Molecule: ribosomal RNA, 484 nt
Filed under: uncultured bacterium
Lineage: Bacteria
Description: partial 16S ribosomal RNA
Rfam family: Bacterial small subunit ribosomal RNA
Source: RNAcentral
AUUGAACGCUGGCGGCAGGCCUAACACAUGCAAGUCGAGCGGAUGAAGGGAGCUUGCUCCUGGAUUCAGCGGCGGACGGGUGAGUAAUGCCUAGGAAUCUGCCUGGUAGUGGGGGAUAACGUCCGGAAACGGGCGCUAAUACCGCAUACGUCCUGAGGGAGAAAGUGGGGGAUCUUCGGACCUCACGCUAUCAGAUGAGCCUAGGUCGGAUUAGCUAGUUGGUGGGGUAAAGGCCUACCAAGGCGACGAUCCGUAACUGGUCUGAGAGGAUGAUCAGUCACACGGGAACUGAGACACGGUCCAGACUCCUACGGGAGGCAGCAGUCGGGAAUAUUGGACAGUGGGCGAAAGCCUGAUCCAGCCAUGCCGCGUGUGUGAAGAAGGUCUUCGGAUUGUAAAGCACUUUAAGUUGGGAGGAAGGGCAGUAAGUUAAUACCUUGCUGUUUUGACGUUACCAACAGAAUAAGCACCGGCUAACUUCGUG